AAACAAUCAACAGAAAAUUUCACAGAGAGAUGUUAUAUAAGGUUUUUAAAUGUCAGAGGUUGCUGUGUGGAGGUGAGGAAGAAAGUGGACCCAAACGCAGGACUCACAGUGCAGGAUAAGGGUGUUUAUUGGAGGGAAUAGAAUGAACAGAUUGAGAGAUGAAUAACUGACUGGCUGACUGGCUGACUGACGGGAAGACUGGCUGAACUAAGAACACGGUAACAACAUUACAUAAAUGACAAGACAAAGAACUGGAGGAAACUGAGGACUUAAAUGCAUUGACUAAAGAAGACGAUAGGAGACCGAAACUGCAGGCUGCAGCCCAUUAAAGGUGCUCCGCCCUCACCGUGAAUUCAUCACAGUAGCAUGGCGACUUUUUCAGCCAGCGAAUCACUAAGUGUGCUACAGAGGAAGUGAUGAAGCAGAUGGUCUUAGUCUGUCGUCCAGACGUUUAGUCGACGUCCAGACAAGAUGAAGACCCCAUCUAUCUCUCCACUCCUCGGUGUGUGUGUGCUGCUGCUGUCUGCACCGACUGUUUCUGCAGUGUCUCUGUCUGUCAGUCCAAACCUUCAGCAGUUCUUCAGUGGAUCUUCUUCAGUGUAUCUGAGUUGUGUUGAUGAUGGACAGACAGCUGAUGGAUGGACAGUGAAGAGGACCAGAGGAGGACUCACUGAGGACUGUGGAGCAGCUGCUUCAGAGUUUAGUAGGAUUAACAGUUCCUUCUGUGUUUUCGGUCUCUCCACUGGUGGAAAUUUCCUGUGUGUAAGCUCAUCUGGACAUCAGAGUGAUGAAGUCUCCAUCAGUGUCUCAGAUAAAGAUGUGAUCCUGGAGAUUCCUGCACUUCCUGUCAUGACAGGAAGUGAUGUCACUUUGUACUGUACACCCAAAGAGGGAGAAAGACGAAAAUCUUACUUCUUCAGAGAUGAUGUUAAACUUGGAUCUGGACCUGAAGGAAAGUGGAAUCUCUCUAAAGUCCAGCGGUCUGAUGAAGGUCUCUACUCGUGUCAUACUGAUAUUCAUCCACGUUCUCCUCAGAGCAGACUGAGGGUCAGAGAUCUCUCUCCUGUAGAUCCUCCUCCCACCACAACUUCUCCUCUUCUUCUCACUACUUUCCCUCCCUCCUCUUCCUCUCCACACUCUUCCUCCUCCCUUCCUCUUUAUCUCCUGUUCCUCCCUGCAGUCCUGGUCCUGGUCCUGGUUGGAGGUGUGGUUCUGUGGAGGAAACAGAGAGUAACCAAGACUUCACCUGCUCCUGAAGAAGUGACCUAUGCUGAUAUCAACAUCAGACAGAAGAAGAAGAGGCGAGAAAACCAUUCUCUUGAUCCAGAUACAGUCUACUCUGCUGUGAGGACACACACUGCAGGCCCUUCUGAGGUCACUUAUGGCCAAGUUCAAAUCAGAUCUCAGAGACCUGCGGGCAGAAAUACUGAGUACCCAGCUGAUCCAGAUGUUGUGUACUCAUCAGUGAGAGCAGGAAAAUGAAGAUAAACAGCUGGAGGAGCUUCACGUCUUUCCAACCUGAAUCUUUUAUUUUGAGUGUAACUCUAUUCUGCUAGAUAUGCUGUUUGCUCUGCUGUGUUUUACCACCUUGCUCGUCUCCUUUAUAGUGUAACUUCUUCCUUUCGGCACAAGUUUAGAUCUAUGAGUACUUGAACAGUGAGCCACAGAGCAUUUUAAAGAGUGCAUAUCUUGAGAAUCCACUUCUAAUUUGUUAUGAGAGUUUUAUCAACUCUGAGGUGUAAAAUUUUAAAAUCUGAAGCUCCUCUGGCAACUGGACCGUCUCCAGGUUUUAAACCACUGAGAGCAUCCUGGCUUUAAGAAAACAGAUGACCAAUAGGACUUGAGCUAAAUAUUCAAGUCACAACCCCUUGCUGAUCAUCUCUUUGUCUGUCAGCGCUAAGCAGAACAUCACAGCGUAGUGUACAGCAGUAUUCAAAAUGUUUUCUCUCAGUUUAACUGCAGGGCUGUGAGCUGCUGUUAUACAUCUGUCUGUAAAGAGGAAUGGAUGCAGCUGUCUUAGUCAUAGCCAUCAAACAGACAACCUGCUGCUACCUCAAUUAACUAAUUAAUUCAGUAUCAGAGUGAUGUGUUGAGCAGGUUUUAUAUGUUCCACAUCCAUGUUUCUUCUUCUCUGUGAUGUAAAUCUAAUCCUUGUAAAGUCAUCUGCAUACCUGUGUGUUUUCUGUGCUUGUUCACAGUCAUGCUUAGAGAAUUUAGAUUGCAAUGCAUCAACAACACCUGCAGUGUUGUUAAUAUGAUGAUUUAGUUAUCUCUUCCUUUGG
Oreochromis niloticus (Nile tilapia) is the source of this 2282-nucleotide long non-coding RNA. RefSeq lists it as uncharacterized. The record is from RefSeq and is a predicted model, not a curated record. The transcript is spliced from 11 exons. Lineage: Eukaryota; Metazoa; Chordata; Actinopteri; Cichliformes; Cichlidae.